This 439-nucleotide ribosomal RNA is filed under the name uncultured bacterium. RNAcentral's name for it is "partial 16S ribosomal RNA". It matches the Rfam family "Bacterial small subunit ribosomal RNA", at positions 339 to 795 of the family's 1533-position model. The record is from RNAcentral.
CUACGGGUGGCUGCAGUGGGGAAUUUUGCGCAAUGGGCGAAAGCCUGACGCAGCAAUACCGCGUGAGUGAAGAAGGCCUUUGGGUCGUAAAGCUCUUUUCUGGGGGAAGAUAGUGACGGUACCCCAGGAAUAAGCACCGGCUAACUCCGUGCCAGCAGCCGCGGUAAUACGGGGGGUGCAAGCGUUGUUCGGAUUUACUGGGCGUAAAGGGCACGUAGGCGGCACAGCAAGUUAAGGGUGAAAUCCCGGGGCUCAACUCCGGAACUGCUCUUAAAACUGCUGAGCUAGAGAUAGUCAGAGGCGGGUGGAAUUCCUGGUGUAGAGGUGAAAUUCGUAGAUAUCAGGAGGAACACCGGUGGCGAAGGCGGCCCGCUGGGGCUAUUCUGACGCUAAGGUGCGAAAGCGUGGGGAGCGAACGGGAUUAGAUACCCCCGUAGUC